UGGGGAAUAUUGCACAAUGGGCGCAAGCCUGAUGCAGCCAUGCCGCGUGUGUGAAGAAGGCCUUCGGGUUGUAAAGCACUUUCAGCGAGGAGGAAGGCGUUAAGGUUAAUAACCUUAGCGAUUGACGUUACUCGCAGAAGAAGCACCGGCUAACUCCGUGCCAGCAGCCGCGGUAAUACGGAGGGUGCAAGCGUUAAUCGGAAUUACUGGGCGUAAAGCGCACGCAGGCGGUUUGUUAAGUCAGAUGUGAAAUCCCCGAGCUUAACUUGGGAACUGCAUUUGAAACUGGCAAGCUAGAGUCUUGUAGAGGGGGGUAGAAUUCCAGGUGUAGCGGUGAAAUGCGUAGAGAUCUGGAGGAAUACCGGUGGCGAAGGCGGCCCCCUGGACAAAGACUGACGCUCAGGUGCGAAAGCGUGG
This 417-nucleotide ribosomal RNA is filed under the name uncultured bacterium. RNAcentral describes it as "partial 16S ribosomal RNA". It matches the Rfam family "Bacterial small subunit ribosomal RNA", at positions 355 to 764 of the family's 1533-position model. The record is from RNAcentral.